This 463-nucleotide ribosomal RNA is filed under the name uncultured bacterium. Its description in RNAcentral is "partial 16S ribosomal RNA". It matches the Rfam family "Bacterial small subunit ribosomal RNA", at positions 339 to 795 of the family's 1533-position model. The record is from RNAcentral.
CUACGGGCGGCAGCAGUGGGGAAUAUUGCACAAUGGGCGCAAGCCUGAUGCAGCCAUGCCGCGUGUAUGAAGAAGGCCUUCGGGUUGUAAAGUACUUUCAGCGGGGAGGAAGGGAGUAAAGUUAAUACCUUUGCUCAUUGACGUUACCCGCAGAAGAAGCACCGGCUAACUCCGUGCCAGCAGCCGCGGUAAUACGGAGGGUGCAAGCGUUAAUCGGAAUUACUGGGCGUAAAGCGCCGCAGGCGGUUUGUUAAGUCAGAUGUGAAAUCCCCGGGCUCAACCUGGGAACUGCAUCUGAUACUGGCAAGCUCGAGUCUCGUAGAGGGGGGUAGAAUUCCAGGUGUAGCGGUGAAAUGCGUAGAGAUCUGGAGGAAUACCGGUGGCGAAGGCGGCCCCCUGGACGAAGACUGACGCUCAGGUGCGAAAGCGUGGGGAGCAAACAGGAUUAGAUACCCUCGUAGUC